ACUAGGUAGAUUACUUUGUUCCCUUUUCACACAGAGCGAACGGAUGGUUUUGUCAGACUUCUAUGAGAAAGGUUUUUCCUCUGAAUCCAAAGGAGCGACUGGUUUUCCCUUGAAGAAAGAUUUCUACUGCCUGCUACUCGGACCAAAACAGGAUUUAACUUUAUCUCUGGUUUUCUUCCGUUUUUUGUCACUCUUCCCCCUUUUUUUUUCUUCUCGUCUUCUCUUCAGGACGUACGCCUUUUGCUCCGGUUCCAAUUUUUUUAGGACGAUAAGACUAUCCUGAGAGGUCCAGCUGUCCUGCUGCUACACAUGCAGUUUCUUCUGCUCCAGUGAAGACUCCUCUGCCAGAACCACCAAAGUUGCUCGUUUUGGAACUGUCUCAAAGUAGAACGGUGCCUCUUUAAGAAGAGUGCAGGAUAAAACCUACAGUCAGUGCAAUAAGUCUUGACAAAAAAAAGCUAAGUACUGUAUUCAUUUGGACUUUGUGAUAAUAUUGUUUAUUUAACAACUCAUGUCAUUUUUGCAGCAGUCGUUGGAAGAACCUUAGCUCAGUCUGCAGCUCCUCCUCCUGCUCACUUUCAGCCAACGCCUGCUACUCCACCACUUCCAUGCUAUGACCAAGAUGUUAGCAGCUGGAACUGCUCUCCACAGCAGAGGAUCUGGAUGAAAACACAGAUGGAAGCCUUAGGACUGUGGCCUGGGUCUCCACCUGUGAGACCUGCAAUGAAUAUGAUCUCCUUGUGGCGUAACCCACCUCAGAACAUCAUUUACUGUAAAACUUUUGGAGACCCAGCAGCUGUGGCAUAAACUCACUCAAGGAAGUGAAACUGUCACUGUACCUGUUGUGACUCUCCCUCCUGCUCCAGUGAACCCCCCCCCCAGCAUUAAACCAGAUGAAGCUCCUCUAACUAAGACUGAUGUUGAAAAAAUGAUGGUGAAGGAGAUUGUAAGUAUGCAGUAACAACAGCAGAAACCUGGAAAAAGAUGACACAACUGUCUUCCUUGUGGGCAGCCAAAGUCUCGUUACCUUGGGGAUGAAUCUUCUGUUCCUUUUUUUAUCAGUCUGGGGAUGUGAAAUACUUCUACUGGUCCUAAAAGUACACCCGAUCUAUGCAACAGAACGCCUUACCGACCCCAGGAUGUCAUUUGCAGACUUUGCUGUCAGGCCAUUUUUUGACAGAGUUAAAGGCUGCAUUCAUGGUCACACACACUGAUUAUGAUAAGACUCCUGAUGUUAUCCUUCAAUGUGAAAAUAUUUGUAAUAUAGUUUGUGAAAUGUAUUUUGUGAAUACAGUUUUCUUACAUAUUUAUUCUUGAAUUGUUUAGUUUUGAUAGAAAAAGCAAAUAUAUUUACUACUUCCUCAAUUCACUUUACACAUUUAAAGUACUUGUAUUAAUGUUUUGCUUGGUUAAAUCUGUCUGCCCUUUAAUUGUAAAUACAUGGUUGAACUUUUUGAUACAUUUUGUGGUAAAUACUGUUUUAUUUAUUUAUUACAUGUUAAUAUGUUAAUGAAGCAUGGUUGUAAUUGAAAUGAGCAACAGAUAAUGACUGUUAUUUGGCACAAGCAAAGACAGGAUAGAAGUGGAAAAUUAUAAUCCUGAAAUGUCAUUUUCAGCUUAACAUAAAUAACAUUUAUUAAACCAGAUCUUCUGACUGACUUCACUCUAACUGGGGUUCGAACUCGGGACCAAAGGAUUUGUCUUCUUGGACAGCGCUACACAAGCUACAAUCUGAUUGGCUGUUCCAUGUUACAGGUAUUUGUCAGGCCCGAACCUUAACUUUUCCCAUUUAUUCUCUGUGGUAGUUCUUAACACUACUGAUGUAAUACACUUAUUGACCACUAGCGAAUUCUGGGGGCGCUGUUUCCACAUCGUGUUAAUGGUAAGGAUUUUACAGGAAGAAAAAACAACAAUCUUGGGCCAGAUUAGAUCCAAUCGUUAUUAGAACUGAAGUUAAAGUCUCAUGUAAGCAAAAAUAAAAUUAACAGGACAAAGUCUCUAAUUUGAAGACAUUUCAAGUCCCGUCAUUGUUGAACAUGAGGACUGAAACUCCAGCAGUGAGGAUAACAGCUGGGAUGAGAGGAACGUCUUCAAACUAGAAACUCACUUUGUCCAGUUAAGUGUGUGUGUUUUCAUAAUGAAACUAAUGAUUCAUUUAUUGAUUUUCAUACCACACCUGUUCUAUUGAGCAUGUUUUCUUUCAUGGUUUUGAGUGUUUUGCACAAUUACUAACAAAGAACUGUCAAUGAUUUGGGCAUUAGUGAUGGAUAUUUCUGUUGAUCUGAAUCCAGACUAUCCUGAGAGGUCCAGCUGUCCUGCUGCUACACAUGCAGUUUCUUCUGCUCCAGUGAAGACUCCUCUGCCAGAACCACCAGAGCUGCUCGCUUUGGGACUGAACGAUUUUUUACGAGUGUCAGGAUCGGUCAUGUCAAACCUGGGAAUAAUUGCCCUUGAAUUGUCACUAGGAUUAAUCAAAAAAAAAAAAUAACAAGUACAUUAAUGUAUAACCUAUAAGGUUUCUCAACAUUAGGGAUUACAGACUGAGGGAAUUGAACAACAUAGC
Molecule: long non-coding RNA, 2563 nt
Organism: Oryzias latipes (Japanese medaka)
Lineage: Eukaryota; Metazoa; Chordata; Actinopteri; Beloniformes; Adrianichthyidae
Source: RefSeq, a predicted model, not a curated record